GACGAACGCUGGCGGCGUGCUUAACACAUGCAAGUCGAACGGAAAGGCCCUGCUUUUGUGGUGUGCUCGAGUGGCGAACGGGUGAGUAACACGUGAGUAACCUGCCCUUGACUUUGGUAUAACUUCAGGAAACUGGGGCUAAUACCGGAUAGGAGCUCCUGCGGCAUGGUGGGGGUUGGAAAGGUUCGGCGGUUGGGGAUGGACUCGCGGCUUAUCAGCUUGUUGGUGGGGUAGUGGCUUACCAAGGCUUUGACGGGGAGCCGGCCUGAGAGGGUGACCGGCCACAUUGGGACUGAGAUACGGACAAGACUCCUACGGGAGGCAGCAGUGGGGAAUAUUGCACAAUGGGAGGAAGCCUGAUGCAGCAACGCCGCGUGCGGGAUGACGGCCUUCGGGUUGUAACCCGCUUUCGACUGUGACGACGCGUGAGUGACGGUAAUGGGUAAAGAAGCACCGGCUAACUACGUG
This 468-nucleotide ribosomal RNA is filed under the name uncultured bacterium. Its description in RNAcentral is "partial 16S ribosomal RNA". It matches the Rfam family "Bacterial small subunit ribosomal RNA", at positions 28 to 507 of the family's 1533-position model. The record is from RNAcentral.